This 73-nucleotide transfer RNA is filed under the name Ailuropoda melanoleuca (giant panda). It matches the Rfam family "tRNA". Rfam says of the family: Transfer RNA (tRNA) molecules are approximately 80 nucleotides in length. Their secondary structure includes four short double-helical elements and three loops (D, anti-codon, and T loops). The record is from Rfam by way of RNAcentral. Lineage: Eukaryota; Metazoa; Chordata; Mammalia; Carnivora; Ursidae.
UCCUGGCUGGCUCAGUGGGUAGAGCAUGUGACUCUUGAUCUCAAGGCUGUGAGUUUGAGCCCGAUGUUGGGUG